UGCACUCACUACUGUAUGUCGCUCUGGAUAAGAGCGUCUGCUAAAUGGCAAAAA
Molecule: non-coding RNA, 54 nt
Organism: Salmo salar (Atlantic salmon)
Lineage: Eukaryota; Metazoa; Chordata; Actinopteri; Salmoniformes; Salmonidae
Source: Rfam